Molecule: ribosomal RNA, 407 nt
Filed under: uncultured bacterium
Lineage: Bacteria
Also listed under: 1 other name
Description: bacterial SSU rRNA
Rfam family: Bacterial small subunit ribosomal RNA
Source: RNAcentral
UGGGGAAUAUUGGACAAUGGACCAAAAGUCUGAUCCAGCAAUUCUGUGUGCACGAUGAAGUUUUUCGGAAUGUAAAGUGCUUUCAGUUGGGAAGAAGUCAGUGACGGUACCAACAGAAGAAGCGACGGCUAAAUACGUGCCAGCAGCCGCGGUAAUACGUAUGUCGCAAGCGUUAUCCGGAUUUAUUGGGCGUAAAGCGCGUCUAGGCGGUUUAGUAAGUCUGAUGUGAAAAUGCGGGGCUCAACCCCGUAUUGCGUUGGAAACUGCUAAACUAGAGUACUGGAGAGGUAGGCGGAACUACAAGUGUAGAGGUGAAAUUCGUAGAUAUUUGUAGGAAUGCCGAUGGGGAAGCCAGCCUACUGGACAGAUACUGACGCUAAAGCGCGAAAGCGUGGGUAGCAAACAGG